RNAcentral lists this ribosomal RNA (2528 nucleotides) under human gut metagenome. RNAcentral describes it as "bacterial LSU rRNA". The stretch from base 711 to 2528 matches the Rfam family "Bacterial large subunit ribosomal RNA". The record is from RNAcentral.
UGCCGCGGGAAGCUCGGAGGGCUCAUGGACCAGGGAAAUGCCAUAGCUGGAACCGUUUACGGCCGGCUUCACAAAGCAGCGCUCGCCACAAACCUCGACGAUAUGAUCGAUAUCGACUUCAUCGCCCACUUCGAGCGCCAGGCCGGGGGCAAUGGGAAUGCCCGCCUUAGCGUAUAGGAGCUUCGAGACCUCCUUGUCGGCACCGCAGGCGCUCGCGAGCACACCCGACGCCGUGUAGGGGAUACCCAGGGUCUCCAUGGCACCCUGCAUGGCACCAUCCUCGCCGCCGGCACCGUGCAUGGCGAUAAACGCCACAUCGAAACCGCCAGUCGCCAUGGUUACCAUAAAGUCAUCAGCGGCCGUGUCGAGCAGCUCCACCGAGGUGUAGCCGGCCUCCUUCAAGGCCACCACGACGUUCUUUCCCGAAUUGAGCGAGAUCUCGCGCUCGGCGGAAUGACCGCCCGCCAAGACCGCUACGUGCAUGUUCUCUAGGCUUUUACUCGGCAUGGGCAGACUCCUCCUCUAUAAUUUCUGCAGCUGAUACCAUAUUGUAGCGAUACCCUCUACGUUUCCCCAAAAUCGAAAGGCUUCCAUGAAUCCCAGGACUAAAUCUCAGGACAUUCGCGACUUGAGCCAAAACGAUAUUCGCGAGCUCGUGGCAGAACUUGGCCAGCCCGCCUUCCGCGCGAAACAGCUCAUCGAAUGGGUCUUUGAGAAGAACGUUUGUUCGUUUGACGAUAUGACCAACCUUCCCAAGGCCUUCCGCGAGCAGCUUAAAGAGGCUUUUGCCUUUGACACGCCGACGGAGCUUAUCAAGCAGGUUUCCAAAGACGGCUCGCGCAAGUAUCUGCUCGAGUACCACGACGGCAUUUCCGUCGAGACUGUCGGUAUGCCUCGUCGCAAUAAACUCUCCGUCUGUGUUUCUACUCAGGCUGGCUGUGGCAUGGGCUGUGCUUUUUGCGCUACCGGUCUCAACGGCCUCAAGCGCUCUCUGACCGCUCAAGAGAUCGUCGCAGCAGGCAGACAUUCCUGCACCGCGCACGCGGCGCUACGACCGACGGGGCGACGGAUGGGGGUGGCUCGGCGGGGUUCUGGACGUCCCCGUGAUGGAGCGCGGCCCGCGGACCAGGGAAAUCCGGUCCGCAUUGAGGGCGAGGCUCCGGACGAAGCGAUUGAGCGAAGCGAGUGAGCCCGAGGUCCCUAGAAAAACCCCUAGGCAGGCGCGUGCGCGCCCGUACCGCAAACCGACACAGGUGGGUGGGUAGAACAUACCGAGGCGAUCGGGUCAACCAUGGUCAAGGAACUCGGCACAAUGGCCCCGUAACUUCGGGAGAAGGGGUGCCCGCGCGUACGUGAACCGGCUUGCCCGGGGAGCGGAGGCGGGCCGCAGUGGAGAGGCCCAAGCGACUGUUUACCAAAAACACAGGACUCUGCAGAAGCCGCAAGGCGACGUAUAGGGUCUGACGCCUGCCCGGUGCCGGAAGGUCACGCGGAGGAGUUAGCCAUUUCGGCGAAGCCCCGAAGCCAAGCCCCGGUAAACGGCGGCCGUAACUAUAACGGUCCUAAGGUAGCGAAAUUCCUUGUCGGGUAAGUUCCGACCUGCACGAAAGGCGCAACGACUUGGGCGCUGUCUCGACCAUGGACCCGGUGAAAUUGCACUGGUCGUGAAGAUGCGACUUACCCGCGGAAGGACGGAAAGACCCCGUGAACCUUCACUGCAGCUUGGCAUUGGCCGCUGGUCCCGCGUGUAGAGGAUAGGCAGGAGGCAUCGAUCCGGAGGCGCCAGCCCCCGGGGAGCCGCCCUUGGAAUACUGCCCUCGCGCGACCGGCGUCCUAACCCGAGGCCGUCAACCGGCUCGGGGACCGUGCCAGGCGGGCAGUUUGACUGGGGCGGUCGCCUCCUAAAGGGUAACGGAGGCGCGCGAAGGUCCGCUCGGGACGGUCGGCAACCGUCCUUUUGAAUGCAAGAGUACAAGCGGGCUUGACUGCGAGGCCCACAAGCCGAGCAGGUGCGAAAGCAGGCUCUAGUGAUCCGGCGGCCCCGAGUGGGUGGGCCGUCGCUCAACGGAUAAAAGGUACUCCGGGGAUAACAGGCUGAUCUUGCCCAAGAGUCCACAUCGACGGCAAGGUUUGGCACCUCGAUGUCGGCUCAUCGCAUCCUGGGGCUGGAGUAGGUCCCAAGGGUUGGGCUGUUCGCCCAUUAAAGCGGUACGCGAGCUGGGUUCAGAACGUCGUGAGACAGUUCGGUCCCUAUCCUCCGUGGGCGCAGGAGAAUCGAUGGAGGCUGCCCCCAGUACGAGAGGACCGGGGUGGACGCACCUCCGGUGAACCGGUUGUCGACCAACGGCACGGCCGGGUAGCCGCGUGCGGCGCGGAUAACCGCUGAAGGCAUCUAAGCGGGAAGCCGUUCCAGGGAUUAGUUCUCCUUCCGGUAAGGGCCCAGGUAGACUACCUGGUCGAUAGACGGCAGGUGCAAGGACGGCGACGUCCUCAGCCGAGCCGCACUAAUCGCCCGAGCUCUUCCGGAA